This 250-nucleotide ribosomal RNA is filed under the name uncultured prokaryote. RNAcentral describes it as "partial 16S ribosomal RNA". It matches the Rfam family "Bacterial small subunit ribosomal RNA", at positions 524 to 773 of the family's 1533-position model. The record is from RNAcentral.
UACGUAGGGGGCAAGCGUUAUCCGGAUUUACUGGGUGUAAAGGGAGCGCAGACGGAAAGCCAAGUCUGAUGUGAAAUGUGCGGGCUCAACCCGCAAGCUGCAUUGGAAACUGGUUAUCUGGAGUGCAGGAGAGGUAAGUGGAAUUCCUAGUGUAGCGGUGAAAUGCAUAGAUAUUAGGAGGAACACCGGUGGCGAAGGCGGCUUACUGGACGAUAACUGACGUUGAGGCUCGAAAGCGUGGGGAGCAAAC